This 253-nucleotide ribosomal RNA is filed under the name uncultured bacterium. Its description in RNAcentral is "partial 16S ribosomal RNA". It matches the Rfam family "Bacterial small subunit ribosomal RNA", at positions 524 to 776 of the family's 1533-position model. The record is from RNAcentral.
UACGUAGGGUGCGAGCGUUGCCCGGAUUUAUUGGGCGUAAAGGGCGCGUAGGCGGUCACGCACGUCCGUUGUGAAAUCGCUCGGCUCAACUGGGCGGGGUCAGCGGAUACGGCGUGGCUGGAGCAAGCUAGGGGGCAAUGGAAUUCCCGGUGUAGUGGUGGAAUGCGUAGAUAUCGGGAGGAACACCAGUGGCGAAGGCGGUUGCCUGGAGCUUUGCUGACGCUGAUGCGCGAAAGCUAGGGGAGCGAACGGG